Molecule: long non-coding RNA, 569 nt
Filed under: Triticum aestivum (bread wheat)
Lineage: Eukaryota; Viridiplantae; Streptophyta; Magnoliopsida; Poales; Poaceae
Description: long non-coding RNA (TAES_LNC027714)
Source: RNAcentral
AGUGCUACUAGCUUUAUAUAUAGUGCCCUCUAUCUUCUAGUUUUACAAUCUCAACACAAAGCCAAGGGCGACCACUUGUGUUGGAUGACCAUGGCAAAGUAUGCACAUAUGCCUUUCAUCCUUAUGGUCCUUGUUCUACGCACCAGCUUCCAAGCCCAAGGUAUGAAACACACCUCUGGACUCUGGUCACUAAAUUUAGGUAUACCUACACAAAAUUGUUAUAGGAAGUUCACUAACACGAUGCUGAAACAAAUAUAACAAUCAUCCAUUGCAUGAUGAUAUAUUUUGUGAAUAUGCUCUCACAUGAAACAUAAUAAAAAUUUAUUGUCUAUCUUUUUUAUGGAUGAUCUCAUAGAACUGUUGCUAAAGUUUUUCCCUAAUCAUAAAUAAAUACUUGAUAUGUAGGACAACUAGGACCGACGGAGACACACAACAUCACCGAGUACAUUCCAUUGGAGUUCACAAAGACUUUUUUCCAACCCCACGGAAUACAUCCCUCUGAUACAUCGAUUGCAUUUAAAAGGUGUAGGCUGUGCCCCUGCUGCCCAAAGGAUCCCAAGAAACCAUGU